CCUACGGGCGGCAGCAGUGGGGAAUAUUCCACAAUGGACGAAAGUCUGAUGGAGCAACGCCGCGUGAGUGAUGAAGGGCUUCGGCUUGUAAAGCUCUGUUGGUAGGGAAGAAAGAUAGAGGUAGUAACUGGCCUUUAGUUGACGGUAAUUACUUAGAAAGUCCCGGCUAACUACGUGCCAGCCGCCGAGGUAAUACGGAGGUGGGGAGCGUUGGCCGGAUUUAUUGGGGGGCAAGGGAGUGCAGGAGGUUCAAGAAGUCUGAUGUGAAAGACUUCGGCUCAACCGUAGAACUGCUUCAGAAACUGUUGAACUUGAGUGCAGGAGAGGAGAGUGGAACUCCAUGUGUAGCGGUGGAAUGCGUAGAUAUAUGGAAGAACACCAGUGGCGAAGGCGGCUCUCUGGUCUGCAACUGACGCUGAGGCUCGAAAGCGUGGGUAGCGAACAGGAUUAGAUACCACGGUAGUC
This 465-nucleotide ribosomal RNA is filed under the name uncultured bacterium. Its description in RNAcentral is "partial 16S ribosomal RNA". It matches the Rfam family "Bacterial small subunit ribosomal RNA", at positions 338 to 795 of the family's 1533-position model. The record is from RNAcentral.